GGCCUUGUAGUGUAGUGGUUCAGCACGUAGGAUUUUGAUUCCUGGGACCCAGGUUCGAACCCUGGCUAGGCCU
This is a non-coding RNA of Sparassis crispa, 73 nucleotides long. The record is from the annotation of a RefSeq genome assembly. Lineage: Eukaryota; Fungi; Basidiomycota; Agaricomycetes; Polyporales; Sparassidaceae.